Molecule: ribosomal RNA, 582 nt
Filed under: uncultured bacterium
Lineage: Bacteria
Description: partial 16S ribosomal RNA
Rfam family: Bacterial small subunit ribosomal RNA
Source: RNAcentral
UGGGGAAUUUUGGACAAUGGGCGAAAGCCUGAUCCAGCAAUGCCGCGUGUGUGAAGAAGGCCUUCGGGUUGUAAAGCACUUUUGUCCGGAAAGAAAUCCUUGGCUCUAAUACAGUCGGGGGGAUGACGGUACCGGAAGAAUAAGCACCGGCUAACUACGUGCCAGCAGCCGCGGUAAUACGUAGGGUGCAAGCGUUAAUCGGAAUUACUGGGCGUAAAGCGUGCGCAGGCGGUUUGCUAAGACCGAUGUGAAAUCCCCGGGCUCAACCUGGGAACUGCAUUGGUGACUGGCAGGCUAGAGUAUGGCAGAGGGGGGUAGAAUUCCACGUGUAGCAGUGAAAUGCGUAGAGAUGUGGAGGAAUACCGAUGGCGAAGGCAGCCCCCUGGGCCAAUACUGACGCUCAUGCACGAAAGCGUGGGGAGCAAACAGGAUUAGAUACCCUGGUAGUCCACGCCCUAAAACGAUGUCAACUAGUUGUUGGGGGAUUCAUUUCCUUAGUAACGUAGCUAACGCGUGAAGUUGACCGCCUGGGGAGUACGGUCGCAAGAUUAAAACUCAAAUGAAUUGACGGGGUCAUAGCUG